This is a long non-coding RNA of Aedes albopictus (Asian tiger mosquito), 476 nucleotides long. RefSeq lists it as uncharacterized. Lineage: Eukaryota; Metazoa; Arthropoda; Insecta; Diptera; Culicidae. The record is from RefSeq and is a predicted model, not a curated record. The transcript has 2 exons.
CUUACCUGAAACUACCCAUCGAAUGGGUCGAUUUUACCCGGAUUUUCAUGUUAUUAGAAGUUGUCAAAAUCCGGGUAACCGAUCUUGCAACAGAAGAGUAAGCUUUACUCUGAUUGUGGGUAAACGGGUCUUUGCGAAAAUUCCGAUACUCAGUUUAUCCUGGUUGUAUAUUGAUGUCAAAAUCUGGGUAAACAUCUGGGUAAGCGGGAUUUGUCAAAAACAUUAACAUUGUUCGCGGCGUGUAUUCCAAAAAGUUAGAGGCUGUGGUAAAGCUCCGGAGAAAAUGGAUCGCGAAAGCUGCAAACAGAUAUUUUUGCAACAUUCCCGGCUACAACAUCUUCAGCAAAGGAGCCCGAUGUAGGCGCGCGGAACGAAACUUGGGACUGCCCUUUGAAAUCUGGAGCCUUUUUAUCAUUAUGAAUAUACUUUUAAUGUUAUUUUACUUAUUUAGACGUAAAUAAAUACUAUCUGUUUUA